This 183-nucleotide ribosomal RNA is filed under the name Methylobacterium sp. UNC378MF. RNAcentral describes it as "16S rRNA. Bacterial SSU". It matches the Rfam family "Bacterial small subunit ribosomal RNA", at positions 19 to 230 of the family's 1533-position model. The record is from RNAcentral. Lineage: Bacteria; Pseudomonadati; Pseudomonadota; Alphaproteobacteria; Hyphomicrobiales; Methylobacteriaceae.
CUGGCUCAGAGCGAACGCUGGCGGCAGGCUUAACACAUGCAAGUCGAGCGGGCCCUUCGGGGUCAGCGGCGGACGGGUGAGUAACGCGUGGGAACGUGCCUUCUGGUCUGGAAUAACCCUGGGAAACUAGGGCUAAUACCGGAUACGCCCUUUUGGGGAAAGGUUUACUGCCGGAAGAUCGGC